AGUGAACGCUGGCGGUAGGCCUAACACAUGCAAGUCGAACGGCAGCACAGUAAGAGCUUGCUCUUACGGGUGGCGAGUGGCGGACGGGUGAGGAAUACAUCGGAAUCUACUUUUUCGUGGGGGAUAACGUAGGGAAACUUACGCUAAUACCGCAUACGACCUACGGGUGAAAGCAGGGGAUCUUCGGACCUUGCGCGAUUGAAUGAGCCGAUGUCGGAUUAGCUAGUUGGCGGGGUAAAGGCCCACCAAGGCGACGAUCCGUAGCUGGUCUGAGAGGAUGAUCAGCCACACUGGAACUGAGACACGGUCCAGACUCCUACGGGAGGCAGCAGUGGGGAAUAUUGGACAAUGGGCGCAAGCCUGAUCCAGCCAUACCGCGUGGGUGAAGAAGGCCUUCGGGUUGUAAAGCCCUUUUGUUGGGAAAGAAAGGCAGCAGGUUAAUACCCCGCUGUUCUGACGGUACCCAAAGAAUAAGCGCCGGCUAACUUCGUG
This 492-nucleotide ribosomal RNA is filed under the name uncultured bacterium. Its description in RNAcentral is "partial 16S ribosomal RNA". It matches the Rfam family "Bacterial small subunit ribosomal RNA", at positions 29 to 507 of the family's 1533-position model. The record is from RNAcentral.